Molecule: ribosomal RNA, 534 nt
Filed under: Triticum aestivum (bread wheat)
Lineage: Eukaryota; Viridiplantae; Streptophyta; Magnoliopsida; Poales; Poaceae
Description: partial small subunit ribosomal RNA
Source: RNAcentral
AUGUACCACAAGGUGCACUCGUUCGGUCCAACAUCUCGUCCUGAUCAUCUGCAGUUGUACUUCUAUGACGACGACCCAAACUUAAGCCAUCGCAAGGAGGCCACCAAGCAAUUGGACCAGAGUGUUGUCAGCAAGUUAGUGGACAUCCUCAGGGAAAACCCCUACUCCCAGCAGUUUAGGAGUUUGGGUGCCCACAAGGAAAACCUCGAGGAGUACCGGAUAGACCUCAACAUUGACCAGAAGCUAGACCAACGGAGAUAUAACAAACCGGUGUCAUCUGAGGUGGCUGCGAUUUGGGUCGAGGGAAGCGAUCUAGCAAACAGGUUCAACCGCAACAUUACACUCUAUGGGGACAACAACGAGAAGCAUAGUAUACAUGCUACAGAAGGUUGCUAUGACCCGCUGUCGUAUCCCCUCUUUUUCCCAAGGGGGGAGCUUGGUUGGCAUCCAAAUAUCCCUAAGCACAAUGUCCCUUGGGAACUUGCACAACAACCAAGAGGAAACCGCGAUAACGAUUCAGGUUCGCCUAUUUAG